GAUGAACGCUAGCGGCAGGCCUAACACAUGCAAGUCGAGGGGCAGCAUAAAACAAGCUUGCUUGUUUGGUGGCGACCGGCGCACGGGUGCGUAACGCGUAUGCAACCUACCCUGUACUGAGGGAUAGCCCGGAGAAAUUCGGAUUAACACCUCAUAGGAUCUUAGAUCGGCAUCGAUUAGAGAUUAAAGGUUACGGUACAGGAUGGGCAUGCGUCCCAUUAGCUAGAUGGUAGGGUAACGGCUUACCAUGGCAACGAUGGGUAGGGGGCCUGAGAGGGUGGUCCCCCACACUGGUACUGAGACACGGACCAGACUCCUACGGGAGGCAGCAGUGAGGAAUAUUGGUCAAUGGGCGCAAGCCUGAACCAGCCAUGCCGCGUGCAGGAAGACGGUCCUAUGGAUUGUAAACUGCUUUUGUACGGGAAGAAACCCUAUUACGUGUAGUAGAUUGACGGUACCGUACGAAUAAGGAUCGGCUAACUCCGUG
Molecule: ribosomal RNA, 487 nt
Filed under: uncultured bacterium
Lineage: Bacteria
Description: bacterial SSU rRNA
Rfam family: Bacterial small subunit ribosomal RNA
Source: RNAcentral